Molecule: long non-coding RNA, 516 nt
Organism: Bubalus bubalis (water buffalo)
Lineage: Eukaryota; Metazoa; Chordata; Mammalia; Artiodactyla; Bovidae
Exons: 2
Source: RefSeq, a predicted model, not a curated record
UGGACUGUAGCCCACCAGCCUCCUCUGUCCGUGGGAUUCUCCAGGCAAGUAGUAGGGAUUCCCUUGUGGUCUGGUGGAUAAGAAUCUGCCUGCCAAUGCAGGGAACGUGGGUUUGACCCCUGGUCUGGGAAGAUCCCACAUGCUGCGAAGCAACUAAAGCCAAUCACCACAACUGCUGAGCCUGCAUUCUAGAGCCUGGAAGCCACAACUACCGAAGCCCUCCUGCUGCAACUACUGAAGCCCCAACGCCCAAGAGCCGGUGCUCCACGACCAGAGAAGCCCGUGCACCAAGAGCAGCCUCCACUCUCCGCGACUAGGGAAGGCCCGCUCACAGCAGUGAACACUCAGCACAACCAAAAAUACAUAAGUAAAUUAGUUAUCUUAAAAAAGAAAUCUCAUCUACAGAAGAGAGAGGUGGAAAUCAAUUAUUCCCUCAGAAAUUAUUCUCACAGGUUCGCCACAAACAAAAUGCCUCCUGUUUGUUGAGUGAAUAAAUGGCCAUACACACUGCUAAGA